Molecule: ribosomal RNA, 253 nt
Filed under: Ruminococcus bromii
Lineage: Bacteria; Bacillati; Bacillota; Clostridia; Eubacteriales; Oscillospiraceae
Description: partial 16S ribosomal RNA
Rfam family: Bacterial small subunit ribosomal RNA
Source: RNAcentral
UACGUAGGGAGCAAGCGUUGUCCGGAUUUACUGGGUGUAAAGGGUGCGUAGGUGGCUUUGCAAGUCAGAUGUGAAAUCUAUGGGCUCAACCCGUAAACUGCAUUUGAAACUGUAGAGCUUGAGUGAAGUAGAGGCAGGCGGAAUUCCCCGUGUAGCGGUGAAAUGCGUAGAGAUGGGGAGGAACACCAGUGGCGAAGGCGGCCUGCUGGGCUUUAACUGACGCUGAGGCACGAAAGCGUGGGUAGCAAACAGG